GGAGCAUUAUUUCAGUUGGUUAGAAAUCUCGCCUCAUAAGCGAGUAGUCCUGAGUUCGAGUCUCAGAUGCUCCA
This 74-nucleotide transfer RNA is filed under the name Caudoviricetes sp. RNAcentral's name for it is "tRNA-Met". It matches the Rfam family "tRNA". From Rfam's summary of the family: Transfer RNA (tRNA) molecules are approximately 80 nucleotides in length. Their secondary structure includes four short double-helical elements and three loops (D, anti-codon, and T loops). Lineage: Duplodnaviria; Heunggongvirae; Uroviricota; Caudoviricetes. The record is from RNAcentral.